This is a non-coding RNA of Peromyscus maniculatus bairdii (prairie deer mouse), 1873 nucleotides long. The record is from RefSeq and is a predicted model, not a curated record. NCBI's taxonomy places the organism in Eukaryota, Metazoa, Chordata, Mammalia, Rodentia, Cricetidae.
GUUUCGCUGGAGCUCCAGACAGACGGUCAGGAGAAGGGCUCUGAGAACUUCACGGAGUGAUUUCUGUUAAGAUUCUCAGCUCGGGACAGGCAGAAGGGGCUAGGAGGUGAGAAGGACAUUUGUACUCCUGAGGAGAACUCCAGAAGGGCUUCCUUUUAAAUGCACUGGCAGACAGAAUGGAAGAAGAAGAUGAUGAUGAUGACUACUCAGGGCAAACCUGCUUGUUUCUCCACUCCGACUCUGCUCUGCGUGGCAAGAUUUAUGACUCUUGGCACAAGUGAAGAAGGCUACAAAAGCUCAAAGUUUUCUUAGGGUGUGUUUGAGCAGGGCAGGCAAAGGCAAGGAGGAGGCCUGUAGGAGGAAGACGGGAGCCAGGAAUGUAGGUGUCUGCAAAUUUGGGGCAGGGGGUGGGGAGAGAGCCAUUGGCGGUGGAGGCGAAAGACAAAAAAGGAGGACAGGCCAUUUCUUCAAGCCGAGGGGUUGCAGGCUGCCUAACUGCUGACUCGGGACUUGGGGGCUGACUCAGGAGGCUGCUGCUGGUGUCUCUUUUCUACGUGGACAGACAGCUUGGAAACUGGUUCUCUUAACUUCGGGUAGACACAGCCAGCCAGGACCCUGUGCCGAUUUCCUGAUUGGGACACUCGGUUCUUGCCAUCUGGAUGCACCAGGAAAGGCGAUGGGCCUGGGGGAACAAAGGGACAUCUAGAAGCUCAGCCCUGGCAAACCCCACCCCUACCCAGUGUGGAGACAAAGAGUUGAUAUCCCAAGCCAUACUUCCCUGGGUACCCCAGAACUCUCCUCAACUCUUGCACCCUCCUUAUAGCCUGUAUCCCACAGGAAAUUGCCCUUCACACAGCUGUGCAUCCGAGAAGCCACUGCCUUCAAGCUGUAUGUCUCUGCAGUUGGAAGAAGAGAAGGAAAACAGAGCAAAAACCAAGUAGGGAGCUUUCCCUUGCUGGCCUCUGUCCUCAUCACCCUGGAAGGACAGUCAGCAUGGUGCUAGGACCAACUGCACAAGCCUCUCCCAGAUACAGAAGGUCUAAGUGUCCAGGGGUCAGAGGUGAAUCUGUGAGGAAGCUGCACCUGUUUUCACAAAUUCUAAACUGUAAACCCACAAUGAUUCAGGUCCAGGGCUAGGGUGAGAGGAGGAACCUCAGAACUCCAAAACACUGAAUUCUGGACAAUUCCAGCCUUGGCUUAGCAUCUGACACGAAAGGAGUCUUGUUUGGUGAAGCUAACCCCAUCUGCCCAUCUGCCUUAGACCCUGUGCCAAUCCUAGCUCAAUCCAACUACCUAGCCUUCUAUUGCCACUGCUCUUGACCUGGCCUUCCGUUCUGUGGAGAACAGGGACUCCUUGAAAAGACAAUCCAGAGAACUUAUUUUCCAGAGGUACAAGCAAAGACAAACUCAGAAUUUUGCAGACACACCCUGCAGUAACUUCUACACUCAGAUGCCCACAGAACUCCAGGACAUACACGAAGUUGCUCCUAAGUGGUAUCCCAUAAAGGAUGGAGAUACAGAGGGGUACCCAAGAGCAGACUGGACUUGGGGCGUCCAGUCCAACUCUGCCAUGGUAGCAGAUAGGGAAAGUGAGGCCCAGAGUGGAAAAUAAAUUGAUCUUGAGUUAUGUUUGCCACACAGUCUUAAGCACUGGGAGACUCAGACUUUAGUCAUCGAAGCUUGGCUGUGUGACUUGAAGCAGAGUACGCCUUGGGCCUCAGUGUGCUCCUCUUUAAAUGCAAGGUAUUUACGGAGGAGGAGGAGGAUUAAGCUAAAUGAUCUCCAAGGUUCUCUUUCAGGCUGAACAUUAGUAAUUCUCUGUGUUGUGUAAAUAUGUAAAUAUGAGUAACAAUAAGCAAUAAUAAACUGAGUU